GUUUUUGACAAAAUGGUGUUAACAUUGUGGAGCAUUCGUUCCCGCUUUACCAAUAUUGAUACGAAGAAGCUCUAUGGUCCGUACAGUAUAAAUGGCCGUAAUAUGUGGAGAAAGUCACCAUGUCCAUUCACAUUGACCCCUCUUCAUCAUCACCAACACGUUGGAAACCUAAAGAAAAAGAGGAAGAGAUCACAGACUAAAGCACUUAGCCAGGGAAAAAGUUUGAGCGGAAAACAUCUCACUGUUACUUGCAGCAAAGGCUACAACUCUAGGAGUUGCAAGGGCCAAGGAGGACCAAGUGCAUUGAGUCAAGGAAAAAAGAAUGGAAAGGGCCUAGGAGGGGCAUGCUGCUUAGUUUCUAGUUUAUUUGUCUUAAUAUGUUUAAUUGUCAAACAAUGUGGCACUUUACUUCUUUUUGGAUUAAGACAUGAUGUUUUAACUCACUUCUAGUUGUUGACAUUAAUCUUUUGGUUUGUGAUAUGUUAACAGUGUAUAUUAUAUUUUGUGAAUGUUUAAAAUGUUUAUCAAUGUUAAUUUGGAUUGUUUAAAGUGUU
Non-coding RNA from Lactuca sativa (garden lettuce), 554 nucleotides. NCBI's taxonomy places the organism in Eukaryota, Viridiplantae, Streptophyta, Magnoliopsida, Asterales, Asteraceae. The record is from RefSeq and is a predicted model, not a curated record.